UUUUAACGGCUAUCAAAUGGAAGUUAUUGGUCCCAUUCUCUCGAAGCUUCUCCCCUUCCCACUCUCUCGCUCUCUCUCAAUCCUCUGUAUAUUCUCCCACUCUGUAUAUCCUUUGUGUGCUCCUUUCGUUUUGUCCAAAUGGGGAUUUCGAUGAUUCGUCCCUCUGAUAAUUUCGUUUACAUUUCAAUUUUAUCUUUCUGAGUUUGAUUUUCUCUUUGGUUUGGAUUGGCUUCCGUGAGUCAGUCUGAUGAUUCUUUGGUUGAAUUGCUUCCAAGUUCAAAGUCUAGCAGACAUGGAUAUAACAUUUCAAGCACUCAAGAGUUCAGAGCUCUCUGCUCUCCUUCGACAACCACACCAACUCGAGCUUCCAUUAAAGUCUCGAGCUUCAAAGUCUGGCAAGAAAUCUCAGAGACUCCAAGAAUCGAAAAAAUGGGAAGAUCAUGGGGUCAAGCAAUGUUUAUCGAAAGAUAAAGAGAGUGAAACCAAAAGGGAAACUCUACGCAGAACGAAUAUAGGGUUUUAUCUUGGUUCUCUUGAGGUACACCACGCAAAAACCCUAGAGAAAGAAAUGGAAAGUCGAGCCAAGUAGCACUCGAUUUGAACUUAGAGCGAUCAUUCCGUUUGUUUUUCUACUUGAUGGAAUUUUUUUUUCUUGUCUCGAUUUUAUCAGGAACCAAACUGAAUGUCAAGGAUGCGACUAUCAGUUGAAGUUCUUGAUUGUGUUCAUUUUCGUUGUUGAUUCUGAUUUCUGAUCUCCCUUUGCUAGUUCAUUCACCAUUAAUUGCACCGCUUGACCCUUUGUGGGGGGACACUUGCUUAAUGCAAUAACAAUCGAACACUUCAUCUUGAGACUAACUUUUCAUUUGAAAUUUACAUGCACAAAAGUUGUAAAAAUGAUGAGAUGAAAGUAUGCAGCAUAUUUGGAUUUGAAUGGUCUGAACCCUCGGUUACAUUUGCACUCUUUUAUGAAAGCUGUUAUUCUCCUAUUGUAAGUUUGUAUUCAAUCUUGGUGAUAUUCUUCAUUUGUGGAGGAAGUCCCAAGUUUUUUUUUUUUUUUUUAAAUAUUUUGGACCAUGAGAGUAUAAUUUAUAGGUUCACAGACUGUUCAUAAGGUUGAUUUUCAAUUGAAGAAGCACCCUACAAGUAUAAUCAGUUUGUCUACAGAUUCUAUUGAUGAAAUUAUACAGACAACGAUGCUUUAUUUAUAUACUCAGUGAGAUUCGUUGGAUAUCAGAU
Molecule: long non-coding RNA, 1236 nt
Organism: Juglans microcarpa x Juglans regia
Lineage: Eukaryota; Viridiplantae; Streptophyta; Magnoliopsida; Fagales; Juglandaceae
Exons: 4
Source: RefSeq, a predicted model, not a curated record